This 254-nucleotide ribosomal RNA is filed under the name uncultured bacterium. RNAcentral describes it as "partial 16S ribosomal RNA". It matches the Rfam family "Bacterial small subunit ribosomal RNA", at positions 524 to 777 of the family's 1533-position model. The record is from RNAcentral.
UACGUAGGGUGCGAGCGUUAAUCGGAAUUACUGGGCGUAAAGCGUGCGCAGGCGGUUCGUUAAGUCAGCUGUGAAAGCCCCGGGCUCAACCUGGGAAUGGCGGUUGAAACUGGCGAACUUGAAUCUGGCAGAGGGGGGUGGAAUUCCACGUGUAGCAGUGAAAUGCGUAGAGAUGUGGAGGAACACCGAUGGCGAAGGCAGCCCCCUGGGCUGAGAUUGACGCUCAGGCACGAAAGCGUGGGGAGCAAACAGGA